Molecule: ribosomal RNA, 482 nt
Filed under: uncultured Acidobacteriota bacterium
Lineage: Bacteria; Pseudomonadati; Acidobacteriota
Description: bacterial SSU rRNA
Rfam family: Bacterial small subunit ribosomal RNA
Source: RNAcentral
UUGAUCCUGGCUCAGAAUCAACGCUGGCGGCGUGCCUAACACAUGCAAGUCGAACGGGAAAACGGGGGCAACCCUGUGAGUACAGUGGCGUACGGGUGAUUAACACGUGACUAACCUACCUUCGAGUGGGGGAUAACCCCGGGAAACCGUGGCUAAUACCGCAUAACAUCGCAAGAUCAAAGGAGCAAUCCGCUUGAAGUGGGGGUCGCGGCUGAUUAGCUAGUUGGUAGGGUAAUGGCCUACCAAGGCUAUGAUCGGUAGCCGGCCUGAGAGGGCGCACGGCCACACUGGAACUGAAAUACGGUCCAGACUCCUACGGGAGGCAGCAGUGGGGAAUUUUGCGCAAUGGUGGAAACCCUGACGCAGCAACGCCGCGUGGAGGAUGAAGUCCCUUGGGACUUAAACUCCUUUCGACCGGGACGAUUAUGACGGUACCGGUGGAAGAAGCCUCGGCUAACUUCGUGCCAGCAGCCGCGGUAAUU